GUACAAACAAAGGGUCCUGCGAUUUGUGGCAACUCUAAUAUUGACUUCUGUUGUGCUUCAAGAAACAGUAACAGAAAAUUAUAAAACUUAAUAACUUUGUUACAUAAUACCCAAGUAAUCAUGUGGUUGCCAUUCAUAGCAACUAAUGUUAACAAUUUAGGUAUUACGGGAUGGUGGUGAGGAAACUGGAUUGUAAUAUCGGGGUGUUCCGGCAACCUUGCUUUGACUGGACUACUGCAAUUGUAUAACUGAUUUAACAGUUAGUGGAUAAUUGUGUCAGGCGGACAGUGGGCGGAGCAAUGGUGUAACGUUAUGAUAGUCAGGCAGCAGCAUAUCAAGUUAUUCAGUCAUUCCGUGAAAGUUGUAUGAAAUGUGAAGGACUGAAAAAAAAAGGAAGAAAAGGGAACGUGAAGCAUUGUAAACUAGCUGGUUCACAAAGAUGGAAACUCACUAAAACCGAGCUACCGAAUGACAAAAACAGUGCCGUAGUGAAAAGUGUAUCCAGUGAUCCAAUACAGACAAUAAAAGAUAUAAUUAGAUGCUUAUUGAUUACUUAAGUGGCCCUUUGCCUAUCUCAGGCAGACAAGAUAAUACACUACUUUCAAAAUUAUGCGCUGUAACGGUCUUCGCUAAUAGUUCAUUAUAUCCUGGAAAUUAAUGAUAUCCCUAACCCUCGACACAGUCAGCAAAUAAACAAAAUAUAGUGAAGAUAAACGUUAUCGUCUGUGACUAAGUUUAAGCUAGACGUACACAAGACCGGUCUCCUUCGCCUCGUCAGCGCUGUACGUGCUGGCCCCAUGACGAGGGUGAGGCACUUCCGCACGCUCACACCUUGUACCCUCCACCCCCAUGAUAACCUCCUGCAACGUGUCCUCCAGUGGUGUGCUGGGGGCGACCUCCCCCAGAAUGGGCAGGAUGCCACAUAUCCUCGAUCUCCAUCAGGCCAUCGUGAACGGAGACAUGGGUGAAGUGGUGAGGCUCGCGGAGAGUGGGCUGGACUUGGGGGCUGCUGUGAGAGGCACCACUGCUCUCUCCCUGGCUGUCUACCGUGGCGACCUCCACGCCCUCAGGGUCCUUAUAAAGGCCGGGGCACCCCUAGACAAACGCAGCAAAGAUCACCUGGAACGUCUUGAAACCCCCAUCAUAUCUUCCAUCAGACUUGGUUACCGGGAGAUCUUUGAGGAACUUAUAAGUCGAGGGGCGCGCCUUGACCUGCGCGACUUCUACAAUCAAACGCCGCUAUGGUUUGCAGUCAAGGAGCAGAGGUUAACCUUCGUCAGAGUCCUCCUGAAGUCUGGGGCACCUAUAGACUUCACUCGGGCCAGGAGAACCCCUUAACAUCGCCAUGCAAUUCUUGGGUUAUAGGGGUCGGCGAGAGAUGGCAUUGGAGCUGGUGGCAGCUGGCGUUCCCCUGACUCUGGAGGACUACAAAGGUCACUCUCCACUCUACUGGGCCAUGAAACAUAUAGACAUUGAAUUCUUUAGGCUACUUGUUGAAGCAGGGGCACAACUACGAGAGUGUGAGUGGCUUACACCACCUCACCUCCCGAGCAUGGCAGGAAGACCCAGGUAUUGUGGCAUGGUUGACCGAGGAGACCAAGACCCCGCCACCACUUAAGCGGCAGUGCCGCACUCGUCUACACUACGCUGCGGGUCAUACAUAAAACGGACGUGAGACCGCUGGUGCAGGCUCUCUGGGCCCCCAGCUGCCGCUACCGCAACUUUUACUGAGCCAUCUGCUACUGGAGGCGCCACUCCGCUGUGCCGCGCCAAACCCGCCCCAUCACAAUCAGAACCAGGUGGAAAUGGUGCCACCGCCUGCCCCGUUGCCACUGUGACGCCCGCCUGCUGGUCAGACCUCAGGACAACCGUUCGCUUGAAGUCACAGUUGCCUACUCCCACACCCCGCACAAUCCUCGAUUCACAAUAUAUGUACAAUAUCCAGAUGGACCGAUUUAUUCACAGUACAUAACCAUUAUAUCUUUAUGUAUAUGGUCACAUUGAAGCUAUUUGUUCAGUCCUAUCUACUUUCAACAUCCGCCAGCGCGCAGGCACUCGCACAAUUACGUUUGGGAUGACAAUAGUGUAUAUGCAACAUCAUUUAAGAACUGUGAGGGUAUGAUUUAAUGACACACACAGGACAGCUCAAGACAGCACAAGUCAGUGAUGGGGGAAAUUAUCUCGAAGUGGUUUGAAUGAAUAUUUUAACUUGUAUUAUUGGUGCUUUCCAGUAGAAUGCGAAAUGUCUGCCUCUACCAAAGAAUAAUAUUAAGUGGAAUAGUAAUACGAUAAUUCUGAUUUAAGCUACAAUAAGCUAUUGAGGAAAGAGUAAUCAUUGAACUGCCCAUGAUUUUUAUGUAUUUAGUUGGUCGUCGUUUGUGGUGUUCUGGUUUUGUUUCCGUGUGUGCGAUUUUGUCCAACCAUCCAAACUUUGCGUAUGGAGAUAGAAUCCUGGAUGAGUGCCCAACUAGUCACUAUUUAAGAAGUAUAACAGUAACAUUUUUCAACUGUUUCAGUAGGCCGACGAAGUCCCAAAUACAUACUGUUCUGAUUAUCGACUGACGAUUGGUAUUGAACAAACUUAGCCAACCAACUAUGGUGGAAUCAUUUGUAUUGCGAUUUGUCGGCCGAUUUAUUUAUUUUGUUUAGAUGCAUAAGUUCGCCGUGGUUACAGACUAAGGGAUCUGCUCUUAGUUAUGUAUUUUUUUUUAAGCAGGGAGUGUAUUCCGCUGUGAUUUUAAUCACGGCAGACAUAAACCAGCCAAAUAUAACUUAUAAUCAACCUAAGUUAACCAGAUGAUCGAAGGUUACGUUUGGCUUGGUUAGCGAAGUCAUGAACCAACCGGACUUACAAAUAUUUAAACUAACGUAAUUAAAACGAUCUUCAGUUAGAGUUGGUUUUGUUUAAAAUGCGACCUCAAAGUAACUAGAUACUGUAUAACUAUAUGAUUUAGGUUUUGGUUUAGUUUACCAGGUUUGGUUGGUCCAUGUUUGCAGUGAAAAUUAUUAUAGCGUCGAAGCCUAUACAGUAAUGUAGAGCUUCUGUUGUUGACGGGACCACAAACACCCUUCCAGCGGAGAUAUGAAACAGGAAUCCUGUAAAUGGUUUAUUUUUCCCUUGUUACCUCGCCAGGUGAUUAUUGUGUCGUACGCCGAGGUUCACCGAUCAUGGCUAUUACGACCAAAUCAGCCUCGUGCGUACUAAGGCCAUUUACUUUUUACACAGACUAUACAGUACAUAUCCUGCUCUAGCAAAAGUAAAUAUUGAAGGGCCAGACCUGUGUCCAUAGCCACACCCUUGUAAGUUUGCAGUUUGAACACCAAUGUGUGUCCCUUCUUAGAAGCAAUCUUCAAGAAUUAGCACUGAUUCCUGCUCUCGUUUCGUUUGUAAUGAUAUACGACACGGAACCAAAUUAACUUCGUCGAACAACCAUAAGAUAACCAAGGUCGUUCGGGGAGGUUAGGUUUGGUCAAUUCUUGUCGAAUGUAGACAGUAGCGAGGAUCGAUGCCCGGAAUCGUGCCUUGGUUGUCAUUGUUUUUAAGUAUUUACUUUUUUAUCAUUCGCUAACUGUUGCCUCACCUUCGUCUUGCAAAAGUGAAAUAACGCCAAGGUCUUAUAUUCGGUGACACCAAAACUUAUAAGUACGGUCUUAAUGAUUCCUCUGACAUUCUGAUGUUCGUAACUGUGGAGUUUCUUAGGCAGUCAAAAGAUUGUGCAGCCUUUAACGCCACAAAUAUCGGGUUACAAUGUUUGUAACAUUUGCCUUUAAAGCCAGGAAGUACUCGAACGUUAGUAUGUACAGUACAAAUAUGAAUAUAUUUGGCAAUGACUCAACAAGGCCAGAGGAUAGUAGGCAUUAAUAAUCAAUCCACAGUAUGGAGGUAAAACUCAUUCACAUUACUUGGAUAUAUUGGCUUACAAGCUUAGCCGCGCCCACCAACACCCUACCUCAGAAGACGAAAGAUUUUCUGUUUAACAAGUUGCUGAUCAAUAAGUAAGACGAAUGUUAUUAUUGAUUAUUCAUUCUUAAAGUUGUAUAAAGAACCACACGGGAAAUAUAACAAAAGUAUUAAAAUAUGGAAACUUUGUAGACGAAUGUGUAGGUUGUUGACACGUUGGUACAGGCAAAUUGCGAUGAAAGUGCUGAGGUGGUAGUUAAUGAACAUAAAAGAGAUGCCGCAACCACAUUACAGGUGAGGUCAAAUAAUGAUAAUAGCGAGGAUGCUUAUGUAAAAUAUGAAGACCGUACGGACAAGUACAGCAGUAGCAAGGUAUAGAUAUAUUUAUACCUUGCACAGUAGGAUGCAGAAUAUGGCCUAAGAAGCAAAGCGUAGACUAUAUACAGUAGGUCGCAGGCAGUACCUGUAAGGACAGAAGAACACAUGGGUAACAUUAACGUGAUAAGCUAUUACGAGUAAGAAAAAACAGUUAUUGUUUGUACUAUUAAGGACAUAAUUUUGAAGGAAACAAGUACUGUAUUAUAAAGAGCAUGGGCGAGGAAACCAGUGUGGCGUGCUAAGAGUGUACUGGGCAUAAACACCUUUUCAAAUUAUCGGAACUGCGGCGUGCUGAGAUUACUCCUCGGGAUUAUCAGGAAUCGUCAAUAGGGGACUUUUCCUGAAAUAAUUACUUAGUGUGGCGGCGUCACACUAUCACUUUUUGAUUCAACGCUCACAUAAUCUGUUGUAUUUUUCACGGUGGUCUUGCUUCUUUGGGUUUGCUGGUCGUCAGCGGCAUGGGCUGUUACGACGGUGCCAACCUUGUGCCAAGUUUCAUGGUCAAAUUAAGAUCCAUACUCGAUAAUGAGACCGUUAUAUAAAAUAAUCGAACCACGGUAAAUAACUUAAUUUGAAGAAUCUUUAAUUUUACAUUGUUAAUAAAUUGCUUGUGUAAUUUUUUUGUUGGUAUUGAUAUUCCUAAAUACAUUUGUUUUGUUCGUUUUCAUCAGGCGCUCUUGGCCGAGGUUUACAGUUGCGCUGAUAGGUUGGUUCUGUGUGUGACAAGGCGAGCUUAAGAAAAAGAAAAUCCUUAAGAAAAUUAUUGCAAGCAUAUGACGCAAAAAGUGUAGGUGUGACGCCGACUUUAUUGUUGGCAUUUUGUUUAAAAUGCGAACGCAUUGAUAAGUGAAUAUCAAUAGGUGUGGAUUGUUAGGUCUUCAUAUUUAACAAACUAUGGCAAACUCUAUACGCUUUUGAAGACUAGCAUGUAUUCUCCAACUAUGGAGAAAAAGGAAUAUAUGACUAUCCAUAACGAAGCCAAGAAGAUGAGACAGUAACCACAGUAGCAGGGCGAUAAUCUCAUGCUACGCAUAAAAAGGUGUAACCACACUUAAUCGCAUCGCUGCCUCUCGAGUGUUCCUCGUCUUCUUCCCUUAUUUAAUGUUGUAUGGAAAGUAGAGUAUAUAACUUCACUGUUGUAUUACAGUUCAUAACUUACGAAAAGAUACCUGUAAAAAGAAAAAACUUCAUUAUACAUUUCUUGCUGUAGUAAUUUCUUGGUAUAUACCAAUCAGUCGUGUUCUUCCGUAUCCACGAAAAUAAAUAAUAAGAACUACACGUACAAUAACUGUAAGUGGUAAGUUUGUAUGACAUUUUAGGAAUGUCAAUCUCAACUCACUGCAAUGGGUAUACAUGAUGAAAAGUUGCAUGCCAAAGUGCCUACGAUUGAACAAAAAAUAAUGUAAUGCACAAAACUACUCGUUUUAUCAUUAUCGCACAUAAUGUAGAACAACUACCGUAUACCUGUUCAUUUGCAAACUUUACAUUGUCCCUUAAAUGUGAUUACAGUAUGGCAGUGUUAAAUAGAGAAUGCUCAAUUCGUUAAGGAACGUGUGUACAUAUUACUUUGUAGACUGUGCAUUAUACUGCAUAUUCAAAAUGUGCUAAGCGAGUGUGAUUCUAGUCAUUACUAUGUUGCCUGCACGGGAAAAUGACAUGAUGUGUGUUGCAAAAUAAGCUGGCGCAACUUGAGUCCAACUGUCUCAUGCCUGCACGAUCUGAAGCGAAUAACAAUCAGUUAACAGACUCAACACAUGCAUCCACCAUCACAGGUUUACUCAUUUCACACCGGGAUGCCUAUCUAUUAAAAAAAAAAUAGAAAUAGCAGGGUACUCUAAACGUGGCAAGAAUUUGUAAUUUUAGUACUAAGGAAUAUAGUUGAGUACAGUAUCACAUAUACAGUACUGUAGUACAGGUAAAUUUUUCUCGGUAAAGAUGGGUCAGACGGCUUACA
RNAcentral lists this long non-coding RNA (6233 nucleotides) under Homarus americanus (American lobster). RNAcentral's name for it is "uncharacterized LOC121872656, transcript variant X1". Lineage: Eukaryota; Metazoa; Arthropoda; Malacostraca; Decapoda; Nephropidae. The record is from RNAcentral.